Molecule: ribosomal RNA, 899 nt
Filed under: uncultured bacterium
Lineage: Bacteria
Description: bacterial SSU rRNA
Rfam family: Bacterial small subunit ribosomal RNA
Source: RNAcentral
AGAGUUUGAUCCUGGCUCAGGAUGAACGCUGGCGGCGUGCCUAAUACAUGCAAGUCGAACGGGGUGUUUGAGUAAUCGAACACUUAGUGGCGAACGGGUGAGUAACGCGUUGGUGACCUGCCCCAAAGCGGGGGAUAACAGCCUGAAAGGGUUGCUAAUACCGCAUAUGGUCUAGAGGGCUUAGAAGCUUUAGAUUAAAGGAGAAAUCCACUUUGGGAGGGGCCUGCGUCCCAUCAGCUAGUUGGUAGAGUAAAAGCCUACCAAGGCGAUGACGGGUAGGGGACCUGAGAGGGUGACCCCCCACAAUGGAACUGAAACACGGUCCAUACACCUACGGGUGGCAGCAGUAGGGAAUAUUGCACCAUGGGCGCAAGCCUGAUGCAGCAACGCCGCGUGAGUGAUGAAGGCCCUCGGGUCGUAAAACUCUUUUCAAGAGGAAGAGGAAGGACGGUACUCUUGGAAUAAGCCUCGGCUAACUACGUGCCAGCAGCCGCGGUAACACGUAGGAGGCGAGCGUUAUUCGGAUUUACUGGGCGUAAAGCGCGUGUAGGCGGCUUUAUAAGUUGGAUGUGAAAGCUCCCGGCUUAACUGGGAGAGGACGUUCAAAACUAUAGAGCUUGAGUACGAGAGAGGAAAAUGGAAUUCCGGGUGUAGUGGUGGAAUGCGUAGAUAUCCGGAGGAACACCAGUGGCGAAGGCGAUUUUCUGGCUCGAGACUGACGCUCAGACGCGAAAGCUAGGGUAGCAAACGGGAUUAGAGACCCCGGUAGUCCUAGCUGUAAACGAUGUAGACUAGGCGUUGGUGGAGUAAAAUCCAUCAGUGCCGCAGCAAACGCGAUAAGUCUACCGCCUGGGGACUACGGCCGCAAGGUUAAAACUCAAAGGAAUUGACGGGGCCCC